Small nucleolar RNA from Lathyrus oleraceus (garden pea), 106 nucleotides. Lineage: Eukaryota; Viridiplantae; Streptophyta; Magnoliopsida; Fabales; Fabaceae. The record is from RefSeq and is a predicted model, not a curated record.
AAUCCAUGAUGUGGACAAGCUCUUAGUAGCUCCUUAUACCUUUCCCAAGCAUCAAAGAGGGACUCUCAUUCUGUUGAGUAAAUCUGGUAAUUUGGUUACGUAGGAC